CCUACGGGAGGCAGCAGUAGGGAAUUUUCGGCAAUGGGGGGAACCUUGACCGAGCAACGCCGCGUGAACGAAGAAGGUAUUCGUAAUGUAAAGCUCUUUUAACAGGGAAGAAAGAGAAAUUUGACGGUACCUGAAGAAUAAGCUCCGGCUAACUACGUGCCAGCAGCCGCGGUAAUACGCAGGGAGCGAGCGUUAUCCGGAAUUAUUGGGCGUAAAGGGUGCGUAGAUGGCAUAGUAAGUCUUUUGUAAAAAUGCUGGGCUCAACCCAGGAGGGCAAAUGAUACUGGAAGGCUAGAGUAUGACAGAGGUAAGUGGAACUAGAGGUGUAGCGGUGAAAUGCGUAGAUAU
Molecule: ribosomal RNA, 348 nt
Filed under: uncultured bacterium
Lineage: Bacteria
Description: partial 16S ribosomal RNA
Rfam family: Bacterial small subunit ribosomal RNA
Source: RNAcentral